Molecule: long non-coding RNA, 4322 nt
Organism: Aethalodelphis obliquidens (Pacific white-sided dolphin)
Lineage: Eukaryota; Metazoa; Chordata; Mammalia; Artiodactyla; Delphinidae
Exons: 2
Source: RefSeq, a predicted model, not a curated record
UUCCGUGGGCAGUGGCACAUCCAGAUUUCUGUGGGCUGAGCCCCGCUGCGCUUUGCACAGUCCCUGGGCCACACGGCCCCGGGGGAGGCUCCCGUGUGCCCAUUUUACAGGGAAGGAGACUGAGGAGUGAAAGGGAGAAGUGGGACUUGCGGAGCCUGACCUGAUUUGGAGCCGCUGUGUGACCUUGGGUCUUGCCCUUGGGGCUUCGGGACCUCAGUUUCCUCGUUUGUAACCUGAGCUCUGAGCGAGCAGGCCCUUGUCUGGGUCCCCAGCACCUCUCCCAGUGCCUGUGUGCAGUAGGUACUUAAUAAACAGCUGUUGAACGAGUGAGGGUGGGGAUGGUGAGACACCUGCCACCCCCCACCCCCAGGCCAUUGUGAGGGUCAGAGGGCAGGGAGUGAUAAGGGGACACAGUGCCGGGCAUGCAGGGCUGCCCUGUUAUCCCAGACCCCAACCUGCGGGCACAGGUGAGCCUCCAAACGUGUGAUCACAACAGGUCCUUCCGUUCCCAGAGGGCCAAGGAGCCUGGGCCUUUGGAGCGGAGUCACAGCUGGCGGGACGGAGGCCAGAGCUGAGCUCUGCAGGGCUUGGAACGCCUGCGUGGGGCUGGGGGAGGCACAGGGGAAAGCCCCCAGGGGCUCCUUUGGGUGAGCAGCCUGUGGGUGGCACCUGGCACGGGGGGUAGCACCGCCCCCUCCCGAGGGCCGCGCCACCCAAGUGCAGCUUCCGCCCUCCAGGUGCCAGCGGAGAGGGUGGGACUGCCUGCCCCGUCCCCCGCAGCUGGGAGGGCAUGGGCACCGGUGCCCGCUUCAUGCCAGGUGCCCACCUGCCUGCCUGGCACUGCCCGUCCCCUUCCCACCCACCCCGCCCCCCAGGACCCUGGGCUCCGAUGCAGCUGUGACCAUCCCCACGGCACAGCUGAGGAUACUGAGGCCAGGGGACUUGUGCGGUGGCCAGUGGCCACACGGGGGAGCUGGGUUCAGAUCCCCUUUCUGGUAGCCCUCCCUGCCUCCCUGUGCAAAGGGGGACGGGCAGUGGACAUGGUCCUGUGGCCUGAGGACAGGUGGGAACUUGCCCUUCAUUUAGGACCUCAAGACAUAGGCGGUGAGGGAGACCUGGCCACUCUGAUCCUCUCGUCAGGGUCAGGCCCCAGGCGGGGAGUUCACCAAUAGCACCAAUAGUAAAUGCCGGGCUCCUAUGCACCCUCCAAAGCCCAGAGGAUUGGCGUAGGCCCCCCUGCCAGCGACCGGCCCCCGCGUAGGGACCCACAUCACUUUCCCUGAGAGCAGCCCCUGGUGCUGUAAGGAUCUUGGCUUGCAGCUCACAGCUGUUCCUUCUUGGAGUCUAGCCCUCUGCCCACAGAGAGGGGUGCCUACAGCCAAGGACGGGCUGAUGCAGAGGGUAUAAAGUCCCCUUGUGCAGGUGGGGCUGCUCUGUGACAUUCUUCACGCCCUGAGCUCCCCUUGGGAUCAGGCAUCUCAGGCUCUGCUUCUAGGGAGCCCACCUAGGACACCCCCUCUCACUUUCAUGAGCAUUUCAGAGGCAGAGUUUUUGGCAGAGAUGUCCACACCCACUGUCCCCGUCCCUCAUUUUCUCACUCCAGUCACCCCUGUGCCGGCCAUUAGUGACCUUGGUGUGGCCGACUGACCCUCUUCCUUGGCUGGGCCCCAGCUCACCUGGGCUUCCUCUAGCCUCUGGUUGCUCCUUCCCAGCCCCGCCCCAAUCAGCUCUCCCACCCCCCCCACCGGCGUCAAGACCGGCACGGCUGCCCCCUGUGGACCACUCGGCGCGGCUGACCCAUGGGAGCCUCUGGUCAACACGUUCAGCAUCUUGCUGCUGAAAUCUCCAUCCUCAGCCUCCCCUGCUGGCCUGACCACCCAGUCGUCCAGCAGAAACCUGGGGUUGUCCCCUCUGUCAAUCCCCCCACUCUGCCCCAUGGCCACUGCGGGCCUGCCUCCCUGGCCCUCCUCUGGCAGCUGUCAGUUCCUCCCUAUGCCUCCUUCCCCACCCCGUCCAUGCCAUGUCACUCCCUUCCUCCAAAACCUUCAGUAGCUCCCUAUUGCCCAGGAUAAAGUUAGCUUCCUAGCUUGGAGUCUGAGUAGCCCCUGCCUCCCUCCAUCCCUUCUGGAAACUAGAGCUUUGGCCAUCGCUGAGCCUGCCGGGCCGCUUCCCUCCUGCAGCUUCUCACCCUGGGAGGCCCUUCCCCUCCGCCUGCUUAUUCACAUCUGAUUUCCCCGCUGGCCGCCAAGCCUUUUUUCACCCCUCCUGGCUCUCCGUCAUCCACAGGGGGGCUGAAGCCACGCCCUGGCGCUUCCUCCUCAGGGGUCUGUCAGCCCCGGGCCAGCUCUGCACCUGCCUGAGGUUCCCUCUGCUCUCUGCCCCCCGGGGGGGUGGGCUUCCUAACACCCAGGCUGUCUCCCGACCAGCCGGAAGCCCCACCCCCUCCCCCGGCUCCUCGCUGCCCUCCGGGGAAGGCCCAGCUCUCAGCCAGGAGGGCCCUGGCUGCAGGCUGAGCUGGGCUGAGCCCUGCAGGCAGCAGGAGUCCCUCUGCGUGCUGUCAUGGUGGUCUGAGCAGGCCCCUCGCUCCGCCCAGGGCUCAGCUCCUGGGACUCACAAGCAGGAAGUCGGGCUGAGCAGCGAGGCCAGCCCAUGUAAGAGGCAUGCAGGUGCCCCGGGCAUGGGAUGGGAGCCGGGCCAUGGGCUGGCAGGCAGCCACUCGAGCGGUGCCAAUUAAUGAUUGGCCCUGAGAGGGGGGAUGGCCUGGGUGGGUGGGACAGGCCCCCAUCAGGCCCUGCCUGUGACCUUGGGCCACGCCUAAAUCUUGAGAGCUGAAGGCAAACCCUUUAAAGGCGCAAAUCGACGCCUGUGCGAAGUUCCAACUCCUUUUCCAGCACCUGGUGCUGUUGCUUGGAUGCUUCCAGAGAUGGGGAGCUUACUACUCCACAUAAGAGAGAUCUUUCUUAUGAUGACCCUGUGCCGGCUUUGCCCUGGGGCCCUCGGGGGCCAGUUGCUGUGCUUCCUCUGGGGAGUUGAGGCCCACCCUAAUCCUCCCUCCACCAACGAGGUCUCCCCUCACGCCGGGCGGCCUCCACCCUCUGGCCACCGGAGCCCACCCAAGCCUAUUUUCUCCCCUACAGAGUGAGGCUGGGCCACCCUGGCCCCUCCUACCCGUCUCUCGCGUUACCUGGAAAUGAGCUUGUUGGGGUGGGGUAUGUGAAUGCGUCCCCAACUCAACUGUCUUUUUCCAUGGGGUGCGGGAGGGGGACGGGGGAAAGCAUGAGAGUCAGGGGUGAACCUCGUAUUCCAGGGACACCCGUUAGAAACUCAGGGUCCCCAGGCAGGGCAUUUCUAACAGGCGCCACAACGGAAUGAGGACUGCUGUCGAGGGCUUCCUUGAUGGGGUGAUGUGUCCGUUGAGACCCGAGGGAGGAUCAGAGUGACCCAGACCAGCCUGAAGGAACUGUGGGAGCGCCUGGAGCAAACGGGACGGUGGGGAGACCGGAGGCGGCAGGAGGGGUCACGGCUGGAGGGCUGUGGGCUGAGGCAUGAGCGCUGUGAAGGCCAGGAAGGCACAGGUGGGUCUGAGCACAGAGGGCCUUCUGCCGCCCACCGCCCCAUCUCUGCCUGAGCCCAGCCCCUUGGGACCCACUGGCACGGGCAUGGGGGCUGCAGCUGCGCGCACUCGGGCCCCCGCCCACCCCGAGCUGCCAUGGAACACUGAGUCCCGCCCAUCACGAGCCGCUCGGACAUGACCAGGCAUAGGGGCCACCCCUAAUCCUGCCUCACGUGGCGCCCGUUUGUUUUGUGGGUGAGAUUUGCGUUGGGAGCAAGCCCUGAGCCUCCUGGCUGCCUGCAGUAGGGGCUCAGAAAAGGCCAUCCGUUCCUGGACACUCUGAGGGAGCAGAGUGGCCUACCUCUGAGUGUCUGAAAGGCGAGGGUCUGGGGGCUUCAAGUCGGCCACUGGCUGGGGCCUUGAAGGAGAAAGGGCAGCUCCCAGGCCCUGUGCACUUACCGCAUGCCCGGCCCCCUGCCCGGGGCUUGCACACCAGGCUCAGGGAGGUCCGACACGAGUCCCCAGGAGGGACGAAGCCUGCACUGUCCACUCUGGGGGCACAGGCCACCGCAGGCAGGAGAGCGCUUGAAAUAUGGUGCGUGCGAGCUGCGGUGUGCCAUUGAGUGUGAGACACAUGACAGGUUUCAAAGACUUGGAGAGAAAAGAAGCAAGAAAAAUAGCUCUUUCGUGAUCUUUUCACAUUAAGAUGUAGAAAUGGUAAUAUUUGGAUAUAUUGGCUAAAUAAAAUGUGUUACCAAGUUUAAGCUCA